Molecule: transfer-messenger RNA, 349 nt
Filed under: Bdellovibrionales bacterium
Lineage: Bacteria; Pseudomonadati; Bdellovibrionota; Bdellovibrionia; Bdellovibrionales
Also listed under: 1 other name
Rfam family: transfer-messenger RNA
About the family: Bacterial tmRNA, also known as 10Sa RNA or SsrA, is named for its dual tRNA and mRNA-like properties. Its role is to liberate the mRNA from a stalled ribosome.
Source: RNAcentral
GGGGACGAUCCGGCUUCGACGGGAGCAUGAAAGUCCUGACUGCGUGCCGAGGUGCCAUAGGCCUCGCUAAAAAAUGGCAACUUGUAAUUGCAAAUAACAAUUACGCUCUAGCUGCUUAAUUAAGUCAGCUUCGUUCACCUGGGAAUCGCCUGUGUUGUUGGGAUGAACGUCAUUUAGCAGGCUAGCUUCGUGCUCCUCAUCAGCGGGCAUGCGGCGAAAUAAAGAUUGAUGGGGAAUGAACUGGGUUUGUCCUUGGAAACAGUUCAUUCAACCUAAACAGGGACUACGCAUGUAGACGUUGGCGAUGGACGGCUUUCGGACGUGGGUUCGACUCCCACCGUCUCCACCA